UGACCGCUGGCGGCGUGCCUACUACAUGCACGUCGAGCGAACGGACGAGAAGCUUGCUUCUCUGAUGUUAGCGGCGGACGGGUGAGUAACACGUGGAUAACCUACCUAUAAGACUGGGAUAACUUCGGGAAACCGGAGCUAAUACCGGAUGAUAUUUUGAACCGCAUGGUUCAAAAGUGAAAGACGGUCUUGCUGUCACUUAUAGAUGGAUCCGCGCUGCAUUAGCUAGUUGGUAAGGUAACGGCUUACCAAGGCAACGAUGCAUAGCCGACCUGAGAGGGUGAUCGGCCACACUGGAACUGAGACACGGUCCAGACUCCUACGGGAGGCAGCAGUAGGGAAUCUUCCGCAAUGGGCGAAAGCCUGACGGAGCAACGCCGCGUGAGUGAUGAAGGUCUUCGGAUCGUAAAACUCUGUUAUUAGGGAAGAACAUAUGUGUAAGUAACUGUGCACAUCUUGACGGUACCUAAUCAGAAAGCCACGGCUAACUACGUG
This 495-nucleotide ribosomal RNA is filed under the name uncultured bacterium. Its description in RNAcentral is "partial 16S ribosomal RNA". It matches the Rfam family "Bacterial small subunit ribosomal RNA", at positions 30 to 507 of the family's 1533-position model. The record is from RNAcentral.